Molecule: small nuclear RNA, 112 nt
Filed under: Microcebus murinus (gray mouse lemur)
Lineage: Eukaryota; Metazoa; Chordata; Mammalia; Primates; Cheirogaleidae
Source: RNAcentral
GUGCUUCUCUCUUCGGCAGCACAUGUACCAAAAUUGGAAACGAUAUGGAGAAGAUUAGCACGGCCCCUGUGCAAGGAUGACAUGCAAAUUAAUUGAAGUGUCCACUAAAAAA